AGUUUGAUCCUGGCUCAGGAUGAACGCUAGCUACAGGCUUAACACAUGCAAGUCGAGGGGCAGCAUCAUCAAAGCUUGCUUUGAUGGAUGGCGACCGGCGCACGGGUGAGUAACACGUAUCCAACCUGCCGACAACACUGGGAUAGCCUUUCGAAAGAAAGAUUAAUACCGGAUGGCAUAAUUAUUCCGCAUGGGAUAAUUAUUAAAGAAUUUCGGUUGUCGAUGGGGAUGCGUUCCAUUAGGCAGUUGGCGGGGUAACGGCCCACCAAACCAACGAUGGAUAGGGGUUCUGAGAGGAAGGUCCCCCACAUUGGAACUGAGACACGGUCCAAACUCCUACGGGAGGCAGCAGUGAGGAAUAUUGGUCAAUGGACGAGAGUCUGAACCAGCCAAGUAGCGUGAAGGAUGACUGCCCUAUGGGUUGUAAACUUCUUUUAUACGGGAAUAAAGUGAGCCACGUGUGGCUUUUUGUAUGUACCGUAUGAAUAAGGAUCGGCUAACUCCGUGCCAGCAGCCGCGGUAAUACGGAGGAUCCGAGCGUUAUCCGGAUUUAUUGGGUUUAAAGGGAGCGUAGGCGGGUUGUUAAGUCAGUUGUGAAAGUUUGCGGCUCAACCGUAAAAUUGCAGUUGAUACUGGCGACCUUGAGUGCAACAGAGGUAGGCGGAAUUCGUGGUGUAGCGGUGAAAUGCUUAGAUAUCACGAAGAACUCCGAUUGCGAAGGCAGCUUACUGGAUUGUAACUGACGCUGAUGCUCGAAAGUGUGGGUAUCAAACAGGAUUAGAUACCCUGGUAGUCCACACAGUAAACGAUGAAUACUCGCUGUUGGCGAUAUACGGUCAGCGGCCAAGCGAAAGCAUUAAGUAUUCCACCUGGGGAGUACGCCGGCAACGGUGAAACUCAAAGGAAUUGACGGGGGCCCGCACAAGCGGAGGAACAUGUGGUUUAAUUCGAUGAUACGCGAGGAACCUUACCCGGGCUUAAAUUGCAACUGACUGAACCGGAAACGGUUCUUUCUUCGGACAGUUGUGAAGGUGCUGCAUGGUUGUCGUCAGCUCGUGCCGUGAGGUGUCGGCUUAAGUGCCAUAACGAGCGCAACCCUUACGGGUAGUUACCAUCAGGUUAUGCUGGGGACUCUACCCGGACUGCCGUCGUAAGAUGUGAGGAAGGUGGA
RNAcentral lists this ribosomal RNA (1171 nucleotides) under uncultured Bacteroides sp. Its description in RNAcentral is "bacterial SSU rRNA". It matches the Rfam family "Bacterial small subunit ribosomal RNA", at positions 10 to 1177 of the family's 1533-position model. The record is from RNAcentral. Lineage: Bacteria; Pseudomonadati; Bacteroidota; Bacteroidia; Bacteroidales; Bacteroidaceae.